CCGGACGUAGUGCGCGGUGCACGCCCGCUUCUACUAUUGCGUACACUUGAAAGCGGGUACCUGGGUUCGACUCCUAGCGUCCGGG
Non-coding RNA from Mycena galopus ATCC 62051, 85 nucleotides. Lineage: Eukaryota; Fungi; Basidiomycota; Agaricomycetes; Agaricales; Mycenaceae. The record is from the annotation of a GenBank genome assembly.